UGUGGCCUCUUGUUUGGCUCGUGGCGUGACCGUGAUGAAGAAAUGUUUCUGGGCGCCUGGCAGGGUGCUCUUUCUAUGUCAUGAGUCAGGAUUUUGCCAACGGAAGGAGUCCGCGCAGCGAGAACCGCGGGCCGCCGCUCUCCGGACCGGGAAGCCGCCAGGGAUCCCCGCUCCGCCUCGGGGAGCCGCCGGGCACCGGCACGCGUAAAAUGGACAGUUUCUACUGUGAUGGAUGGUGAGGGUGGCCCCAGCACCACUGCUCCUAGAGCGUCCCGCAGUGCCCAGCAUCAGCAAUGGGACAGCUGGGAUCCGUUUGUUUGAAAAGCAAGGAGGAGUUUAGAGAAGAUGAAAAGAUGGCAGUAUGUUUGGAAUCAAAAUCCAUUUUUCUUGAGAAAGAAACUGUCACAAAUUAUUGAAAAGAUAAUAUUUAGAAAGAUCGACUCCAAU
This is a long non-coding RNA of Tympanuchus pallidicinctus (lesser prairie-chicken), 447 nucleotides long. RefSeq lists it as uncharacterized. The record is from RefSeq and is a predicted model, not a curated record. The transcript is spliced from 2 exons. NCBI's taxonomy places the organism in Eukaryota, Metazoa, Chordata, Aves, Galliformes, Phasianidae.